UACGUAGGUGGCAAGCGUUGUCCGGAAUUAUUGGGCGUAAAGCGCGCGCAGGCGGUCCUUUAAGUCUGAUGUGAAAGCCCACGGCUCAACCGUGGAGGGUCAUUGGAAACUGGGAGACUUGAGUGCAGAAGAGGAAAGUGGAAUUCCAUGUGUAGCGGUGAAAUGCGUAGAGAUAUGGAGGAACACCAGUGGCGAAGGCGACUUUCUGGUCUGUAACUGACACUGAGGCGCGAAAGCGUGGGGAGCAAACAGG
This 253-nucleotide ribosomal RNA is filed under the name uncultured bacterium. RNAcentral describes it as "partial 16S ribosomal RNA". It matches the Rfam family "Bacterial small subunit ribosomal RNA", at positions 524 to 776 of the family's 1533-position model. The record is from RNAcentral.